This is a non-coding RNA of Ictidomys tridecemlineatus (thirteen-lined ground squirrel), 72 nucleotides long. NCBI's taxonomy places the organism in Eukaryota, Metazoa, Chordata, Mammalia, Rodentia, Sciuridae. The record is from Rfam.
GGGGUUGUGGCUCAGUGCUAGAGCGCUUACCUAGCACGUGCGAAGCCCUGGUUUCGAUCCUCAGCACCCCUA